UAAAAGUAAACUAAGAGUUGGAUCGUUUGCGUACGUUUGCCGCUAGGGGCGCUGUUCCAACUGCAUACAAAUUUGAGCUA
This 80-nucleotide microRNA precursor is filed under the name Bombyx mori (domestic silkworm). RNAcentral describes it as "mir-2807 microRNA precursor family". It matches the Rfam family "mir-2807 microRNA precursor family". Lineage: Eukaryota; Metazoa; Arthropoda; Insecta; Lepidoptera; Bombycidae. The record is from Rfam by way of RNAcentral.